UCCUGGCUCAGGAUGAACGCUGGCGGCGUGCUUAACACAUGCAAGUCGAACGAUGAUCCYMRCUUGYKGGGGGAUUAGUGGCGAACGGGUGAGUAACACGUGAGUAACCUGCCCUUGACUCUGGGAUAAGCCUGGGAAACCGGGUCUAAUACUGGAUAUGACCUUCUGGCGCAUGCCAUGUUGGUGGAAAGCUUUAUUGCGGUUUUGGAUGGACUCGCGGCCUAUCAGCUUGUUGGUGGGGUAAUGGCCUACCAAGGCGACGACGGGUAGCCGGCCUGAGAGGGUGGACGGCCACACUGGGACUGAGACACGGCCCAGACUCCUACGGGAGGCAGCAGUGGGGAAUAUUGCACAAUGGGCGCAAGCCUGAUGCAGCGACGCCGCGUGGGGGAUGAAGGCCUUCGGGUUGUAAACCUCUUUCAGUAGGGAAGAAGCGA
RNAcentral lists this ribosomal RNA (437 nucleotides) under Arthrobacter sp. R-41539. RNAcentral describes it as "bacterial SSU rRNA". It matches the Rfam family "Bacterial small subunit ribosomal RNA", at positions 17 to 453 of the family's 1533-position model. The record is from RNAcentral. Lineage: Bacteria; Bacillati; Actinomycetota; Actinomycetes; Micrococcales; Micrococcaceae.